RNAcentral lists this ribosomal RNA (278 nucleotides) under uncultured bacterium. Its description in RNAcentral is "partial 16S ribosomal RNA". It matches the Rfam family "Bacterial small subunit ribosomal RNA", at positions 8 to 287 of the family's 1533-position model. The record is from RNAcentral.
AGAGUUUGAUCCUGGCUCAGAAUGAACGCUGGCGGCGUGCUUAACACAUGCAAGUCGAACGGUAACAGAAGAGCUUGCUCUUGCUGACGAGUGGCGCACGGGUGAGUAAUGCAUAGGUAACGUGCCCCUUAGUCUAGGAUAGCCACUGGAAACGGUGAUUAAUACUGGACACUCCUUCUCUUUUAAUAAGAGUUGGGAAAGUUUUUCGCUAAGGGAUCGGCCUAUGUUGUAUCAGGUAGUUGGUGAGGUAAUGGCUCACCAAGCCUAUGACACAUAGC